UUUGUUCAGUCAGCUCGCGUUA
RNAcentral lists this microRNA (22 nucleotides) under Magallana gigas (Pacific oyster). Its description in RNAcentral is "Mgi-Mir-375-P4_3p (mature (guide))". Lineage: Eukaryota; Metazoa; Mollusca; Bivalvia; Ostreida; Ostreidae. The record is from RNAcentral.